RNAcentral lists this ribosomal RNA (127 nucleotides) under Dufourea novaeangliae. Lineage: Eukaryota; Metazoa; Arthropoda; Insecta; Hymenoptera; Halictidae. The record is from RNAcentral.
AUCAUUGUUAAUAUUUUUCUAAUAAACAUAUAUAUAUAGUUCUCGUCCGAUCACUGAAGUUAAGCAGCAUUGAGCGUGGUUAGUACUUGGAUGGGUGACCGCUUGAGAACACCGCGUAUCGUUGGCA